UCUAACUCUCUUGUCUUUCCUGUGUUUGUUUAAAAUUGUCGCUAAUAGGUAUUUAGACCUGACAUUUAUAUGGUCCUUCGAGCCGGAUGUCAAGACACCGAACGGAUCCCGGCAGGUCUGGUCGACUCCGGUAAAAGACCGUGCGCACGGUAAGUUUCUUACUGGAAACUUCUCAAAACCUGUUGAAGGGCUGGUGUCGACCUCCCUGUUGGAAUCUGACGGUUGACGACUCCGAGGGGAAGACAGAGGGUGAGUGGAUUCUUGUUUAAAAGUGUGGCGAAUGACUGAGGGUCAUUGCGCGAAUACAAAACCCUGUAAAUUCUAGACUCUAACAGGUAAAAAUAGAGCACAAAAAUCCGUGAAGGGCGUACGAAGUACUUGCGCAAAAUUUCGUUGUAACAGGUGGACGGAGCCUGGUGCAAACCUGCUGUAAAAUGCACUAAAAUUGUAAUUGGAACGGACGGCGGAGUCCGGCGAAGCAGGCGCUUAAAGUCCGCAACAAGUGUGUGAUUGUGCGAGUGCUUGGAGGUGUAAAUACCACUUGGUAUUAUACCUCAUAUAAAACAGUAGGAUUGAAACCAGCAAACCUCUUGAGGAUGCAGAGGUAAGAACCCCCACUCGAAAGAGUUGAAGCGUGGGUUACCUCAACAGGUUGUUUCAAUUGCUGGCCUACUGAACAGAACCCCAGUUUUUAGGACUCCCUAGACGUCGACAAACUGGGCCAAAUUUUAUAAAAAAAAAAAAUAAAAAUGGGGAAAAAUAUAAGUAAGAAUAAGCCAACAGACAGUUUAAAAACAAAUGACUGGAAAUAUGUUGAAAAUCAGGAUCCGCAUAAAAUAAAACAUUUAGAUAAAUGGAUAACAAACUAUAACUUUGACGGCCGUCUGAAUUCACAAAAACUAACAGUACUGCAGGAUAAAAUAAAACAAAAAACAAAGUCAAAUUCAAAGAAAAUGCACAAAGAAGGGUAUGAGGAUAUAAAAUUUUGGUUAGAAUUAGCGCAAAAAAAGAGAAGAGGAGGAAGAAUCGUUUGAUGAAUACAGCCUGAGAAUGCAUCAACAUUACAUGAGAUUGGGGACUGGGAUUUUAGAUGAAUACAUCAACCACGCUAUACACGCAGAAAAGGUCUCAAAAGAAAAGAAAAAGGUUUCAGGAGCCUUUUUCCAAGAUGAGGAGCAAAUAUUUUAUUUAGAAAGGAGAGGAAGAGGAAGCUUCAGGGGUAGAGGUCAGAACCCCAGAGGACAGAAAGGGAGAAUGGGAAGAGGGAACUACAGACAAAAUAAUUUCAGACAAAAUAAUUUUAAACAAAACGACUUAGGAUGUUGGUGUUGUGGGAAGGAAGGACACAUAGCCAGAAAUUGCCCAGAAAAAAUACACAGAUCAGUCAGCAUGACUAGAAUCAGAAAGUUUAGAGAGUGAAGAGGUCCAAUUAAAUCUACAGGAUUUAUUAUCUAUGGAUAGUGUAAGACCAGAAAUAACUCUUUUCAUGAAUGGUAGACCUGUAGUUUUCCUUUGUGACACUGGUGCAUGUAGAACAACAUGCAGAGAAAACAUUUCUGGGGUAAAGAUUAGUGGGGAAACUGUCGUCGUGAGGUCAGCUGGGGGUAAAUUAAUGCAAGUCAAUGAAUCAGAGCCAGUUUGGCUUAGAGAUCCACAGGGACAAGCUUGUCAGUUGUCCAUUUUGAUGCUCCCAGAAUGCCCAGUAAACUUAUUAGGCAGAGAUGGCCUUAUACAGCUAGGAUUAGCUUUGAUUCCAACCACUGAUGGGCACAUAGCAGUUAAAAGGCAGUCAGAAAUAAAAAA
Xiphophorus couchianus (Monterrey platyfish) is the source of this 1803-nucleotide long non-coding RNA. RefSeq lists it as uncharacterized. Lineage: Eukaryota; Metazoa; Chordata; Actinopteri; Cyprinodontiformes; Poeciliidae. The transcript is spliced from 2 exons. The record is from RefSeq and is a predicted model, not a curated record.